UACGGAGGGAGCUAGCGUUGUUCGGAAUUACUGGGCGUAAAGCGCACGUAGGCGGCUUUGUAAGUCAGAGGUGAAAGCCCGGGGCUCAACUCCGGAACUGCCUUUAAGACUGCAUCGCUUGAAUCCGGCAGAGGUGAGUGGAAUUCCGAGUGUAGAGGUGAAAUUCGUAGAUAUUCGGAAGAACACCAGUGGCGAAGGCGGCUCACUGGACCGGUAUUGACGCUGAGGUGCGAAAGCGUGGGGAGCAAACAGG
Molecule: ribosomal RNA, 253 nt
Filed under: uncultured bacterium
Lineage: Bacteria
Description: partial 16S ribosomal RNA
Rfam family: Bacterial small subunit ribosomal RNA
Source: RNAcentral